Molecule: long non-coding RNA, 97 nt
Organism: Sander lucioperca (pikeperch)
Lineage: Eukaryota; Metazoa; Chordata; Actinopteri; Perciformes; Percidae
Exons: 3
Source: RefSeq, a predicted model, not a curated record
AACAACAAUCUUUGAAAUUAAGCGUGAAUGCUGUAACCGGUGGCCACAGACUGGGCUGCGAUUUAACCCUAUGGGGCAAAUGCAUAUUAUCAAUUUG